Molecule: long non-coding RNA, 299 nt
Filed under: Naja naja (Indian cobra)
Lineage: Eukaryota; Metazoa; Chordata; Lepidosauria; Squamata; Elapidae
Description: lncRNA (ENSNNAG00000010870.1)
Source: RNAcentral
AUUAACACCAAGAUUAACACUUGACCAACAACCAAGCUGUAAAGAAUAUGCCAAUCAAGAAACUACCAACUUAGGCAACAAACAAGCAGUAAACCAUAGCCUAAUCACCAAGAUCAUUCCCACCAACACCGAUAGGGUAAUCCACUUUUAUGUAAACAGAGAGCAACCCCACACCCUUCCAGCACUAAUGAUAUUACCUAGUCAGGUAAUGAAAUGUCUGCAAGAGAACAACCAAGCUCAGAGAGCAUCAAGGUCUCCACAGACACUGGGAAAAUUGAUGCACGUCUUGACAAAUGUUG